This 1508-nucleotide long non-coding RNA is filed under the name Homo sapiens (human). Its description in RNAcentral is "long intergenic non-protein coding RNA 491". Lineage: Eukaryota; Metazoa; Chordata; Mammalia; Primates; Hominidae. The record is from RNAcentral.
GGGGGGAUAUACUUUUCAAAGAAACCAGUAAAAAGCCUCUUCCUCAAUCUCUAUGACCUGCCUUCUUUUUCCAGUGCUGCCUCUCACAGUUUUCCAGGUGUAUUCCACAUUGUCUCUACUAGUGAACUAGGAUAAUCCAUUGUGUAUCUCAACCUCCUUCACUACCCUGUGAAAGUCACAUGUGAGAAGAAGCAUCACAGAUGAUUCCAUGGAGAACAUCCUGGAAGUUCUCCAAAUGAACUGGAAAUUCCCUGUCUCCCCUUAACCAGCACUGGAAGCAGAUGGGAAGAGAAUAGCUGUGACUGACUCACACUCUAACCCAGCAACCCUCAGCAUACAAGUGGGAGACCAUAAAGUUUUUCAAGACCCCAAAAGAGGCCAAAGGUCUGAUAAUUGCUGGGAGAAGGUCCACUAUCCAAGAAGAGAAGAGGAAAAGGAAUUAAAGUCUCCAAGCACUGGGGAUGCAAGAAGAGAGUUGCACAGGAGAGAAAGAAGAAGUUGUCCACGGGGUGACCCUGCAAUUGGAGGGAAAUGCAUGUGGAUAUGUGCAGGGAGUCUAGGAAGUGAAGCCUUAGUGAUCAUUUACAAGAAUGAGGGUUAGGUAAAAUAAGGGAUGCAAAGCCACCUGUAGUCUAUUCUAACCUCACUCCAUCACUCUAUACAAUCUGUGUUUUAUCAUCUGAAAUGUUAAGUAAAGACCUGUUUGGGUCUUCUUCAGAAUCCCAUACAUUUGAGUUCAUUAGUCAGAAAAAGGGAAAAUACCACCACCCCAUCCUGGAAUGGCAGUCAUGUACACUUUUAUAAUGAGAGAUUGGGCAGCAAAGGGGGCCCCUUGUGGACCUCACCCAGCCAGAGAAGGAGGCAGAAUGUUUCCUUUACUAUCUUUUCCUCUCCCCAGAGGAACACUACAUAUUGUUCCCUCCAUGGGCUUAAGAGAAGGUGCCAGGGUUACAGAUAGAUAUAUCGCUAGCUGUAGAGCACAGGGUGAAUUGGGAUGUCCAUGUACAAAGCUAGGGACAGGAGAAUCAGUUUAAAGACUUUAAAAAUAAUUAGGAAAAAAAGGAAGGCCUGACCCAAAGCUUAGGAGUGCAGGUAGAGAAGAGAUGGUGCCAUGAUAUACCAUGUCUCUGGGACUUUUCUGUAUUCCUCUUCCUCUGUAUACUGUAUUGCCCUCAUUCCCUAUUUAUUCAAAAUCUGUGCUACCUCCACUGCGAAGACUUCCACGAGAAAAUUCAGAUAUUUCUUCUUUUGUGGACACUUUCUACCUUACAAAUAAGUUAAUUUUAAUUCAAGGAAGAGUUUUUCCGGAACCCUGUUGGCCUGCUCACAGGAAUGUAAGUUCCUUAAAUCUAGGGCACAGUGUCUUUGAGAACUGCAAUCACCUACAUCAACAUGACAUAGCUAUUAGGACUAAGAACAGAGACCACCUGUGUCAACAUGAGUUACUAUUUUUUUCCGUGAAACAUUUGUCCAAGAAAGAUAAGACUGUAACCAAUAAAUAGUUUGCA